AUUGAACGCUGGCGGAAUGCUUUACACAUGCAAGUCGAACGGCAGCACGGACUUCGGUCUGGUGGUGAGUGGCGAACGGGUGAGUAAUAUAUCGGAACGUGCCCAGUCGUGGGGGAUAACGUAGUGAAAAUUACGCUAAUACCGCAUACGAUCUAUGGAUGAAAGCGGGGGAUCGCAAGACCUCGCGCGAUUGGAGCGGCCGAUAUCAGAUUAGGUAGUUGGUGAGGUAAAGGCUCACCAAGCCGACGAUCUGUAGCUGGUCUGAGAGGACGACCAGCCACACGGGAACUGAGAUACGGUCCAGACUCCUACGGGAGGCAGCAGUGGGGAAUUUUGGACAAUGGACGCAAGUCUGAUCCAGCCAUUCCGCGUGCAGGACGAAGGCCUUCGGGUUGUAAACUGCUUUUGUACAGAACGAAAAGGUCUCUAUUAAUACUAGGGGCUCAUGACGGUACUGUAAGAAUAAGCAUCGGCUAACUCCGUGCCAGCCGCCGCCGUAA
Molecule: ribosomal RNA, 500 nt
Filed under: uncultured bacterium
Lineage: Bacteria
Description: partial 16S ribosomal RNA
Rfam family: Bacterial small subunit ribosomal RNA
Source: RNAcentral